This 97-nucleotide transfer RNA is filed under the name Streptomyces morookaense. RNAcentral's name for it is "tRNA-Gly". Lineage: Bacteria; Bacillati; Actinomycetota; Actinomycetes; Kitasatosporales; Streptomycetaceae. The record is from RNAcentral.
CGGUCGUGCAGACCGGCAUGGGCUGGGUCGCGGGCCCCCGGCUCGUCUCGGCCGUGGCCGAGGCCGGGGCGCUGGGCAUCCUCGGCUCGGCGACCAU